RNAcentral lists this transfer RNA (70 nucleotides) under Eurycotis sp. B074. RNAcentral's name for it is "tRNA-Ser". It matches the Rfam family "tRNA". From Rfam's summary of the family: Transfer RNA (tRNA) molecules are approximately 80 nucleotides in length. Their secondary structure includes four short double-helical elements and three loops (D, anti-codon, and T loops). Further hydrogen bonds mediate the characteristic L-shaped molecular structure. tRNAs have two regions of fundamental functional importance: the anti-codon, which is responsible for specific mRNA codon recognition, and the 3' end, to which the tRNAs corresponding amino acid is attached (by aminoacyl-tRNA synthetases). tRNAs cope with the degeneracy of the genetic code in two manners: having more than one tRNA (with a specific anti-codon) for a particular amino acid; and 'wobble' base-pairing, i.e. permitting non-standard base-pairing at the 3rd anti-codon position. Lineage: Eukaryota; Metazoa; Arthropoda; Insecta; Blattodea; Blattidae. The record is from RNAcentral.
AGUUAUAAAGCUUAAAGAAAAGCAUAUGUUUUGAAAACAUAAGAAAGGAGUUUAAGUCUCCUAUUAACUU